RNAcentral lists this transfer RNA (77 nucleotides) under Bifidobacterium asteroides. Its description in RNAcentral is "tRNA-Pro". It matches the Rfam family "tRNA". From Rfam's summary of the family: Transfer RNA (tRNA) molecules are approximately 80 nucleotides in length. Lineage: Bacteria; Bacillati; Actinomycetota; Actinomycetes; Bifidobacteriales; Bifidobacteriaceae. The record is from RNAcentral.
CGGGCCGUAGCGCAGUUUGGUAGCGCACUUGACUGGGGGUCAAGGGGUCGCGGUUUCAAAUCCCGCCGGCCCGACCA